GGCCGUGAGUAUCGGUGCCCAGUGGGCUCAGGUCUUGCACACUGAGAGGCAUCCCACUUCCCAGCCCAUCCCGGCCCGGCUGCUCCAGCCCAUCCAGAAGACACAGAACCCUUUAGAAUAGGAAGAAGUAAACAUGUUGGGGGCUCGAUGAAAUGCAGGAUGAAGCUGGGAAGAUGACAUCACAAAUAACCCCUAGAAGAAAAGAAACUCAGGCUCGUGCAGUGCACUCUCUGGCAAAACGAAGUGUGAUUUACUCCUGCAAAUUACCAACUGUAAAAUAUUUACAGCUAAUUCGCUCUACCUUCCAGGGUGGCAGUGGCAGAGGGAGGCAGGUUGUUUCGGUAGUAAACUGGGGAUGCAAUUUCCACCUCACCGGCCCUAUUUCCUGCGGCAACCUCGGGCGACAGCGUCAUUUAUAGCUUCCACGCGUACAAUCCUUUCUGCAUGUGCGUGAUCUCGAUUACAGGCAGUUGAGGUUUGUGUGGUAGGCAUUAUGCAUUUAUGAGCCAGAGCAAACAUUUACUAGUGCUAGUAAUUCGUCUAGGGGCGAAGGAAGAGAAAGGGCGGGAGCAGCCGGGCGCGGCACUGGUUCCCUGACGGGGGGGUGGGGGGGUGUCACAGAUCUGUGGGGGCUGCAGAAUCCGCACACAGGUGGGGAAGAAAGGUCCCGUCCAUCUGGAGGCACCUGGUCUGUGAAGCUCAUCUCCUGGCAUGUUGGUCUCCCAUCCAUGAGAUCAACGUACAAGUACCCCGAGGCACAGUCCUUGGACCUUUGCUCAUCUCUGUAUACGUUAGCAUAUGCCAUCUGUCUGUGUUGUCACUGUCCAAAUAUUUCUCCACCCAGAUCUCUCCCAGACUCAGAUAGUCGUUGCUUACCUGGCCUUUCCAUCUGGAAGUCCACAAGGCCUCGUGAACGUGACAUGUCUGAGCCAGAGCUCCUGACGUUCUCCCCACCUCACACCCAGAUCUUUCCUCGGUGUCUUCCUCCAACUCAGUAAAUGACCUGGAGCCACCCUGACAUCUCUUUGCCUCUUAUGCCCCACGUGUGAUCCAUCAGUGGGUUCUCCUAGCUUUCUUCCAAAUAUGUCCUGGAUCUGCCCUCUUCACCACCCCACUGCCAUCUCUCUCUUCCCUGGACUGUGGCAGUGGAUUCCCUGUGGGUUUACCAGCUUCUGCAUCAGGAGUGUAGUUCAUUAUGAGGCAUCAGGUAAAGGGGUUCUGGAAAAUUAUAAUUCAGACCAUGACCUUCUGCCCUCUGCUCAAAAGACUCCAUGGAUUUCCAUCACACUCUGAAUAAAGCUUCAUCAUCAGGCCUUCUGAUGCCCCUCUGACCUCAUCUCCUGACACAAUGUCCCCCCCCCCCUCACGGUCUCCAGCCCCACACGGCCUUCAUCUUUGUGUGCACAGUAAGAACACUCCUACCUCAGAACCUUUGCACUGACUGUUUCCUCCACUUAGGAUAGGCUUCCCUUAGAGAGCCAUUCAGUUUGAUUUUUCACUUCCUUUAUAUGUGAAUUCUCAGGUAGAGGAGGAUUUUUUAAACAAGAAACAAAUGAGCUAAGCACAAAAUUUUGACCAGUCCAAGAACGUGAUAAAUUGAGCCACAAACUGGGAGAAGAUAUGUAACAGAGAAAGGAAUAGUACCCAGAAUGUACAGAGAACUCCUACAAAUCAAAAAAAAAAAAAAAAAAA
RNAcentral lists this long non-coding RNA (1692 nucleotides) under Canis lupus familiaris (dog). RNAcentral describes it as "lncRNA (ENSCAFG00000055688.1)". Lineage: Eukaryota; Metazoa; Chordata; Mammalia; Carnivora; Canidae. The record is from RNAcentral.